RNAcentral lists this ribosomal RNA (253 nucleotides) under uncultured bacterium. RNAcentral's name for it is "partial 16S ribosomal RNA". It matches the Rfam family "Bacterial small subunit ribosomal RNA", at positions 524 to 776 of the family's 1533-position model. The record is from RNAcentral.
UACGUAGGGGGCAAGCGUUGUCCGGAUUUAUUGGGCGUAAAGAGCGUGUAGGCGGCCAGGUAGGUCUGCUGUGAAAACUCGAGGCUCAACCUCGAGACGUCGGCGGAAACUAUCUGGCUAGAGUCCGGAAGAGGAGAGUGGAAUUCCUGGUGUAGCGGUGAAAUGCGCAGAUAUCAGGAAGAAUAUCCGUGGCGAAGGCGGCUCUCUGGGACGGUACUGACGCUGAGACGCGAAAGCGUGGGGAGCGAACAGG